This 160-nucleotide ribosomal RNA is filed under the name Nymphoides aquatica. RNAcentral's name for it is "5.8S ribosomal RNA". It matches the Rfam family "5.8S ribosomal RNA". From Rfam's summary of the family: 5.8S ribosomal RNA (5.8S rRNA) is a component of the large subunit of the eukaryotic ribosome. It is transcribed by RNA polymerase I as part of the 45S precursor that also contains 18S and 28S rRNA. Lineage: Eukaryota; Viridiplantae; Streptophyta; Magnoliopsida; Asterales; Menyanthaceae. The record is from RNAcentral.
AUGACUCUCGGCAACGGAUAUCUCGGCUCUCGCAUCGAUGAAGAACGUAGCGAAAUGCGAUACUUGGUGUGAAUUGCAGAAUCCCGUGAACCAUCGAAUUUUUGAACGCAAGUUGCGCCCGAAGCCGUUAGGCUAAGGGCACGUUUGCCUGGGCGUCGUA